AUGCCCCUGAGGGUGAAGAGGAUGUUUUCCAAACAUAUUUUCCUUAAUUUUCAGCUGGACAGCAAACCUCAGCUGCAUAGCCUCAGGGCAGAAAGUGUUCCAGAAACCCCAUGGAUGGAUGGACAGCUUGUUGAAAGAAGUCAGGUAUUUUUCCUUGCGACUUAUCAUGAUGAUCCCAACUGCUUUCUCAAGGUGGAACGCAAUUUUUACAAGGAUGGGGAUACUGUGAUUGCUGCAUUAUUCCCCAUUUACACAUAUCUCACUGAUACAUUCUUGAAUGUUUUCAAAAAGAAUCUCAUAUGUGAAGGCUCAGCUUUUGGAGGCCACACUCAUAAAGCCCCUUAUCUUCAGAGUCUGCACAAAAGAGCCAAGGCAAGGUGGGACCUCUUCUCAUUCCCCAUGCCUCAUGACCCAUAUUCCUGUACAGGACAUGCUUCCUGUCUCUGUCCUGUCAUGAGAAACCUGUACUCACCAUGCUGA
Molecule: long non-coding RNA, 480 nt
Filed under: Oryctolagus cuniculus (rabbit)
Lineage: Eukaryota; Metazoa; Chordata; Mammalia; Lagomorpha; Leporidae
Description: lncRNA (ENSOCUG00000038380.1)
Source: RNAcentral